This 294-nucleotide unclassified non-coding RNA is filed under the name plant metagenome. RNAcentral describes it as "partial contains small subunit ribosomal RNA and internal transcribed spacer 1". The stretch from base 1 to 46 matches the Rfam family "Eukaryotic small subunit ribosomal RNA", at positions 1786 to 1831 of the family's 1831-position model. The record is from RNAcentral.
AAGUCGUAACAAGGUUUCCGUAGGUGAACCUGCGGAAGGAUCAUUAAAAGAGUCGCCCUGCACCCCUCCCGGGGACGAGGGCCACGGGUGAGGCCCGGGAUUAAACCCCCGGGUCCCCGUCUCUUCCACCCUGUGUCUACCUUCUACGUUGCUUUGGCGGGCCUGGGUUCGUCCCCCGGGGACCCCCUGCCCGGCGUGGGCACCCCGUCCCGACCGGGAGCAGCGCCCCGCCAGAGACCCCCACCAUUCCUGAUUUUUUUCCAGCGGUCUGAGCGAAACACGAAUAAAAUAAAA